GACGAACGCUGGCGGCGUGCCUAAUACAUGCAAGUAGAACGCACAGUUUAUACCGUAGCUUGCUACACCAUAGACUGUGAGUUGCGAACGGGUGAGUAACGCGUAGGUAACCUGCCUGGUAGCGGGGGAUAACUAUUGGAAACGAUAGCUAAUACCGCAUAAUAUUAAUUAUUGCAUGAUAAUUGAUUGAAAGAUGCAACUGCAUCACUACCAGAUGGACCUGCGUUGUAUUAGCUAGUAGGUGAGGUAACGGCUCACCUAGGCGACGAUACAUAGCCGACCUGAGAGGGUGAUCGGCCACACUGGGACUGAGACACGGCCCAGACUCCUACGGGAGGCAGCAGUAGGGAAUCUUCGGCAAUGGACGAAAGUCUGACCGAGCAACGCCGCGUGAGUGAAGAAGGCUUUCGGAUCGUAAAGCUCUGUUGUAAGAGAAGAACGGGUGUGAGAGUGGAAAGUUCACACUGUGACGGUAUCUUACCAGAAAGGGACGGCUAACUACGUG
RNAcentral lists this ribosomal RNA (505 nucleotides) under uncultured bacterium. Its description in RNAcentral is "partial 16S ribosomal RNA". It matches the Rfam family "Bacterial small subunit ribosomal RNA", at positions 28 to 507 of the family's 1533-position model. The record is from RNAcentral.